GACGAACGCUGGCGGCGUGCCUAAUACAUGCAAGUUGAGCGCUGAAGGUUGGUACUUGUACCAACUGGAUGAGCAGCGAACGGGUGAGUAACGCGUGGGGAAUCUGCCUUUGAGCGGGGGACAACAUUUGGAAACGAAUGCUAAUACCGCAUAAAAACUUUAAACACAAGUUUUAAGUUUGAAAGAUGCAAUUGCAUCAUUCAAAGAUGAUCCCGCGUUGUAUUAGCUAGUUGGUGAGGUAAAGGCUCACCAAGGCGAUGAUACAUAGCCGACCUGAGAGGGUGGUCGGCCACAUUGGGACUGGGACACGGCCCAAACUCCUACGGGAGGGAGCAGGAGGGAAUCUUCGGCAAUGGACGAAAGUCUGGCCGAACAACGCCGCGUGAGUGAAGAAGGGUUUCGGAUCGGAAAAAUCUGUUGGUAGGGAAGAACGUUGGUGAGAGUGGAAAGCUCAUCAAGUGACGGUAACUACCCAGAAAGGGACGGCUAACUACGUG
This 497-nucleotide ribosomal RNA is filed under the name uncultured bacterium. RNAcentral describes it as "partial 16S ribosomal RNA". It matches the Rfam family "Bacterial small subunit ribosomal RNA", at positions 28 to 507 of the family's 1533-position model. The record is from RNAcentral.